This 1693-nucleotide long non-coding RNA is filed under the name Marmota monax (woodchuck). The record is from RNAcentral. Lineage: Eukaryota; Metazoa; Chordata; Mammalia; Rodentia; Sciuridae.
AAUGUAUUGAGGCAAUGAAAAUACAACAUAGAAAAACUUACAGGAUGAGGAGAAAACAGUUUUGAGAGAAACUUGUAACUAUCAACAGUAAAUUUUUGAAAGGAGGAAAAAUAGCAAAUCAGUAACAUAGCUUUACAACUUAAGGAAUUGUAAGAAGAGAAACAUAAGCCCAAAGGCAGCAAAAGGAAAAAAAUAAAGAUGAACGUGGAAAUAAAUAAAAUAUAGAACAAGAAAGAAAGGAGAAAUCAAUAACCAAGAGUAAAUUCUUGAAAAAGAUAAAUUAAAAAAAUUAUUAACAAGUCUUUAGGUAAAUUUACUGAGAGAAAUAUAGAAGACAUAAAUAACUAAACCUGGAAAUACAAAGAAGAAAUUAUUACUGAUUUCAGAGAAAUAAGAAAGAUCACAAGAGAGUAUUAUAAACAAUCAUACACCAAAAAUUGGAUAAACUAGAUGAAAUGGACAAAUACAUAGAAAUGUAAAAACUAACAAGACUGAAACAUGAAGAAGCAGAAAGGUCUGAGUAGACCUAAAACAGUAAGGACAUGAAUCAGAAAAUCUCUCAAAAACAACAACAACAACAAAAACCUUCUAGACUAGAUCACUUCACUGGUGAAUUACUACCAGGUGUUUAAAUAAUUAACACCGAUCUUUCACAAAUACUUUCAAAAUUUUUAACAAUAGAGAACAUUUACUAACUCAUUUGUGAAGCCUGCAUUACCAUUACCAUGACACCAAAGCCAAAUACAUACACAUAAAAAAAAAAAAGAAAAAGAAAGAAGAAAGAAAAGGAAGAAAACUGCAAAUCAAUAUCUCAAUGGACACUGAUGCAAAAAUCCUCAAUGAAACAGUAGGAACCUGAUUUUUAAGAGCAUAGUGAAAUUACCAUAUGCCAUAGGUGAUAUGCUCCUGAUAUACAAGGAUAGUUCAACAUAUGAAAAUCAACCAAUGAAAAACAUCAUAUUAACAGAAUGAAGAAAAAAUCACAUGGUCAUUUAAAUUGAUACAAUAAAAAAAAGAAUUAAAUUGAAUCAUUUGCUGGUAGAUGGAUGGAACAGAGAAUAUCACGCUAAGUGAAAUAAGCCAGACUCAGAAAGCCAAGGGUCAAAUGUAUUUUCUCCUAUAUGCAGAAGCUAAAGAGAUAUAAGGAACUAAAAAAAGGGGAGAGGGGAGAUCUCAUGAAAACAAAAGGAAGAACGCUAGAAUAAAGGUAGGGAAUCCAGGCGGAGGAAGGACGGAUGGGAAAGGGGAGGAACUGUAGAAUAAAAUUGAUCAAACUAUGCUAUAGGCAUGUGUGAAUGUAUCAAAAUAAAUUCCAUUUUAUGUAUGUCUAUACUGCAACAAUUGAAAAUAAUAAAUUAAUGGAAGAAAUAUCAAUAGAAGAGAGGAAGGGGUUGGUGGAGGGAGGAGGGAAAGGAAAGGGAAAUGCAAGGAAUUGAAAUGGAGUAAAUUAUGUUGUAUACAUGUACGGAUGUCAAAAUGAACCCAUUAUUACAUACAACUAAUAUUUUAAAAAUUGAUACAGAAAAAGCAUUUGGCAAAGUUCAGUGCUGUCUCAAAAUAAAAAAAUAAAACACUCUACAGACUACACACAGAUGAAACUUACCUCAACAUAAUAAAGGCAUAUGUGAAAAGCCCAUAACUUUCAUCAUACUCGGUGGAAAUACUGAAGACGUCUCCCCUGAUAGGAGGAGGA